UAAGGAAUAUUGGACAAUGGUGGAAACACUGAUCCAGCCAUCCCGCGUGCAGGAUGAAGGCCCUCUGGGUUGUAAACUGCUUUUACCAGGGAAGAAACGCCCCGACUUGUCGGGGCCUGACGGUACCUGGGGAAUAAGCACCGGCUAACUCCGUGCCAGCAGCCGCGGUAAUACGGAGGGUGCAAGCGUUAUCCGGAAUCACUGGGUUUAAAGGGUGCGUAGGCGGCCUGAUAAGUCAGGGGUGAAAGCUCACGGCUCAACCGUGGAAUUGCCUUUGAUACUGUCAGACUUGAAUCGGCACGAGGCAGGCGGAAUGUGGCAUGUAGCGGUGAAAUGCUUAGAUAUGCCAUAGAACACCGAUUGCGAAGGCAGCCUGCCAGAGCCGCAUUGACGCUGAGGCACGAAAGCGUGGGGAGCGAACAGG
RNAcentral lists this ribosomal RNA (424 nucleotides) under uncultured bacterium. RNAcentral's name for it is "bacterial SSU rRNA". It matches the Rfam family "Bacterial small subunit ribosomal RNA", at positions 355 to 776 of the family's 1533-position model. The record is from RNAcentral.